UGAGUACGAGAUGCUACGGCAUCGAAGCAGUCUAUGUCAUACUUCCAAGAAAAGCUUGCAAUGUCAUAAACAAAUAAUGCCUGUACCAUAACCGACACAGGUGGGUAGGUAGAGUAUACUAAGGGGCGCGAGAUAACUCUCUCUAAGGAACUCGGCAAAAUGACUCCGUAACUUCGGGAGAAGGAGUGCCUUAUUAUAUAAGGUUGCAAUAACAAGAUCCAAGCAACUGUUUACCAAAAACACAGGUCUCCGCUAAGUCGUAAGACGAUGUAUGGGGGCUGACGCCUGCCCAGUGCCAGAAGGUUAAAGAAGUUGGUUAGCAUUAGCGAAGCUGAUAACUGAAGCCCUGGUGAACGGCGGCCGUAACGAUAACGGUCCUAAGGUAGCGAAAUUCCUUGUCGGGUAAGUUCCGACCCGCACGAAAGGCGUAAUGAUUUGGAUACUGUCUCAGAGAGGGGCUCGGUGAAAUAGACUUGUCUGUGAAGAUGCGGACUACCUGCACCUGGACAGAAAGACCCUAUGAAGCUUUACUAUAACUUGAGAUUGAAAUUGGACUUUAUUUGCGCAGUAUAGGUGGGAGACGUUGAAAAUAUUCUUGCGGGAAUAUUGGAGUCAUCAGUGAGAUACCACUCUUAUAAUGUUAGAUUUCUAACUUUGUAUCAUUAUCUGGUCAAAGAACAGUUUCAGGCGGGCAGUUUGACUGGGGCGGUCGCCUCCCAAAGGGUAACGGAGGCGCACAAAGGUUUCCUCUGAACGUGUAGAAAUCGUAUCUAGAGUGUAAAGGCAUAAGGAAGCUUGACUGUGAGACCUACAAGUCGAGCAGGGACGAAAGUCGGUCUUAGUGAUCCGACGGUGCUGAGUGGAAAGGCCGUCACUCAACGGAUAAAAGUUACUCUAGGAUAACAGGCUGAUCUCCCCCAAGAGUUCACAUCGACGGGGAGGUUUGGCACCUCGAUGUCGGCUCAUCGCAUCCUGGGGCGGUAGUACGUCCCAAGGGUUGGGCUGUUCGCCCAUGAAAGCGGUACGCGAGCUGGGUUCAGAACGUCGUGAGACAGUUCGGUCCAUAUCCGGUGUAGGCGUUAGAAUACUGAGAGGAGCCUUCUUUAGUACGAGAGGACCGGGAAGGACAUACCUCUGGUGUACCAGUUAUCGUGCCAACGGUAAACGCUGGGUAGCUAUGUAUGGAGAGGAUAACCGCUGAAAGCAUCUAAGUGGGAAGCCCACCUCAAGAUAAGUAUUCC
This 1241-nucleotide ribosomal RNA is filed under the name metagenome. RNAcentral's name for it is "bacterial LSU rRNA". It matches the Rfam family "Bacterial large subunit ribosomal RNA", at positions 1564 to 2814 of the family's 2925-position model. The record is from RNAcentral.